CCUGAAAGACAAGCAGUCUGGUGAUAGAGAUGUGCAGCUCUCAGAAACAGGACAGUUCACCUUUUCAUCAGAGGUCUUGAAAAUCCCUUCAGAGUUAAAGAGACUUGAACUGGAGGCCAAAUGUUUGGAAUUAGAAAAUGAGAGACUUCAGCAGGAGAAACAGAUGGAAUUAGAAUCAGCAAAGGGUCAUGGAGGUAACGUGGAAGGGAAUAAACAAACCCCAGAAGCAAUAAAGUUGCAGCAGAGAGGGCUAUGAACAUCAAAGCCAACAGUGACAUACUGCUGAGGCUGCAUGGACAGGCUGAUUUCGGUUUGUCACAUUGUGAAGAAAUUGAUUGAAGCUACGGCCAGAUGAACCGAAUGGGAUGAACCUUCAACAAGAUGAAAAAAAAAUCAUGAUGGAACAAGCCCCCUGUACCUGCAAUGUGGUAGACCUUUGUCAGCAUGCAAAGUCCACAAAUGAAGUCCUCCAUGCAAUUCCCACACCUUUGCCAUAUUAUAUACAUCUCAUAACAAGGCAACUUCUCCAAGAUACAGCAGUUGUGAAUGUAGCUUUUAUUUCUCCUAAUCCCACAAAAAUGUUAUUCUAAAGAGUUCAUUGUUCCUCCUCAAAAUUGCAACAGGAGCACAUGUAUGCAUAGUCGUACUUCAUCUCAAAUGCCUUAUUAGGUUAAACAUGUGAGUAGUGAAUUAUUUCUGUUGUUUCCAUCAUCAGCCAUCCUUUGGGCUAAAAUUGGAUGUGAAGUCUCAGUAUUUUGGUAUCCACUGCAGAAUGACUGGUGAUUCUAUUAGGGAGUUGAUGGUGGGAGUCAGAUGCCUUUGUCACCUUAGGAAUGGAUGUAAAGCUAGAAGUCUUUUUCAUUUUUGUUUUGUUUUUAAGUUUCCAACAUGAAAUAUUGCCUAUUAGCUUCUUUCAGCCUCUGAUGGUUAGAAAGGCUGUGCCAUGUUUACUUUUCAUUAGUUAUUAUAUCAAUGAAUUAUGUGAAUUGUGCUUAUUUUAAGAGUUCUUAUAUCAAUAUUUGAAUGCAGUGAGUACAUUUUCAAUAGAUUUCUUCUUCAACUUGAAGUUUAUUAAGAUGCUUUAAGACUAAAGCUCAGUAACACUGUUUAAAACACAGAUCAAUAAUUUACAAUACAAUAAAACAACAUAUCAAAUAAUAAAAAUGCACAAUGACAAAAAUAAGGCACAGAAUAAAAGCUGUUAAUGGCAAAAAAUUGUUGCUGACAAAGAACCUUAAAUGUGAUUCAUGGCCAUUAAAAGACUGGUUUACCAUAUCAUUAAUAAAUGCCAGCUCAAACAGAAAUAUUUAAAAAAAAUCUACAGGAUCAGGCAAAUGUCGAGCACUCUAUCAGGAACUGUAGUAGUAGGUUCCAUAGAGGUGGAGCUCGAUAGGCAAAGGAAUGAUAUUCAGAUCUUUCCAGGCAUACACGGAGAACCAUCAACAGCAUUAA
This is a long non-coding RNA of Protopterus annectens (West African lungfish), 1452 nucleotides long. RefSeq lists it as uncharacterized. The transcript is spliced from 4 exons. NCBI's taxonomy places the organism in Eukaryota, Metazoa, Chordata, Ceratodontiformes, Protopteridae. The record is from RefSeq and is a predicted model, not a curated record.